ACUCCUACGGGAGGCAGCAGUAGGGAAUCUUCCGCAAUGGACGAAAGUCUGACGGAGCAACGCCGCGUGAGUGAUGAAGGUUUUCGGAUCGUAAAACUCUGUUGUUAGGGAAGAACAAGUACAAGAGUAACUGC
RNAcentral lists this ribosomal RNA (134 nucleotides) under uncultured bacterium. Its description in RNAcentral is "partial 16S ribosomal RNA". It matches the Rfam family "Bacterial small subunit ribosomal RNA", at positions 335 to 467 of the family's 1533-position model. The record is from RNAcentral.